AAGGGUUAUUUGUAUGUACGACCAAGACAGAGCUGACUGAGUAGGAGGCUAUCAAGAAAGUAUGAUCUACUGUUAACUUAGAUAUUUUCUGGAACAGAGCAUGGUAAAGAAUACUCAUGAGAGAUUGUCCAGAUUUCUCCUCUUUUUCUUCAAGCCCAGAUGUUCUGGUUUUUCCUCAAUCCAUUGAAUUGCCUUGCCACCUGAUGCUGAAGUCCCAGAAUUUCCCGCUGGAAAUUGCUGUGCAGAGAGGCAGGAGUGGACCAAUUUAGAGAAAAGAGGCUUAGAUACACUGUUGCGAGCAGAUGAUGAAGGUCUGGAAUAACUGCCAAUUCCUCUCCUCGCAUGUGACAGCAGCAAACCCAGAUGUGCAGGAUUUUUCAAUGGCCUGGAACUUGCCAAGUGGGCUAAGCUGGCUGGCCAGGGACUGACCUUCACCUGUCUCUGCUUCCCAGCACUGGAUUAUAAGCGAGCAUGACCACCGUGCUUAAUUUUGAAAACUGAAUUUAGUGUGGACUCAGGGUAUUGGCCUUGUCUUCUCAUGCUUCCUCACUGAGCUGCCUCUCGGCCCUGUGCUGGACAAGGAUGGAGUUUCAAGGAGAUGUGCUGGAUCAAUGGAUAAUGGCAUUGUCUCUGGCUUAAUGCUUCUGUGGUUCAAGGGAAGGAGUGUCAAAAGCUGAAGCUGGAGAACAAGGUUGGAUGUUGGAGAAUCUCACAAAGUCUUAGAGACAGAGCUGGAGCUAGCUUGUAUUGACUGUGACUUUCCAGAAACGUUGCAGGGAACUACUGUUUUUCUAAAGAAAUCAAAGGCAGAUUUUUAAGUUUGGAAAAAAAAACCCAGCAAAUGAAGAGGCCAUAGUUUAAAAGUUGCAAAUCCAACUUGGAGACACCAAUAUUUCUGCAAGUUCUUACUUCAAAGGGCGGAGGAUGGAACAGGGCAGGCCGAUGAGGGAAAAUCUUGUUAUUGGCAAAGUUGGUUUAGGAACUAACAAUCUUUCCUCAAAGGCUCAUGGGAGAAACAGAGCUUUGAAGGCAGUUGAACUAAAGCCUUUUGUGGGAUUACUGAACGAUGCAAGGAUUACUGAAUGAGAGUGCAGAAACUGGACAAGGUGCAAAAAGCUGCAGGCCAGCAUGUCCUGAAGACCUGAGGAUUCUGGGAGAUGUUAGUGAAGGGAACUACAAACUGAAACUCUGUCCUUCAGCACUCUGUGAGAAAGACAGGAAAGGUUGUGGCCCUUAGUGGUAACAAGUCCAAGUAUAACAUCAAUGGUUGAAUUAAAGAAAUCUUGCUCUGCA
Molecule: long non-coding RNA, 1293 nt
Filed under: Mus musculus (house mouse)
Lineage: Eukaryota; Metazoa; Chordata; Mammalia; Rodentia; Muridae
Description: predicted gene, 50137
Source: RNAcentral